UGUCUCCCUGGGGGAGGGGGACAGACGUGGUGGGCAUAUGGAUUUGAGGAAGGGAGGGGGUCAGGGCAGGAGGGGUGGAUGAAGGGAAGCAAGGAUCCACGCACCCUGGCCUCCUCAGCUCUUGGGCGUUCCCUCUCUAUGAAGCACUGUGGUAGACAAGAGAGGCUCUGUUAGGUAAGGCUGGUCAGGAGGCCUCACACACACACACACACACACACACACACACACGAUACCACACCAGGCUUGCCAGCUCUCCCGGCUCAGUCUCUACCAGAUGGAGAUGGCGGGACCUGCACCAGGAAGCCCUUCUACACCAGGGAGCCCUCCUGUCCCAGCCUGCCUCUGCCCAGUUCCUACCCUGGCACAGUUGUCAAAACCUGGCACGCCAGGGAUGCCCUGGUCCCCCUUUUCUCCUUUCUCCAGAAGGAAGGCUGGAUGAGCCGUCUGGCCCUGGGCACAGUCACCACAGAUGCUCUGAUGGGGAAAACGGAAAGGACAGAAGGACCCAGCCACAUCCCUGCAGCAGCUCCGCUCUGUCCUCAGGGGACCCGAUCACAGCAAUUGGCUCUGAGUCUCCUCCAGGAAGAGGCUCAGGUAGGGCCAAGCCAGAGCGCUUUCCAGACAGGAGUGUGGGAGGAGGCGGAGGGACCCGCGGAGGGACCAUCUGUCCCGCCUGUUCCUGCAACCUGCACCCGCCGCGAGGACAAGCCCCAAGGAUCCAGGAUGAAAAAGCUGGCUCCUGGUGCCAGCACCUCUGCCUGGGGAUGCCAGGAGACAGCCGCAGGAGGAGGCCCUCGAUGGAUGUUCCUGGGGAGGGCCUGCAGCUCAACAACUGUCACAGGCUCCACAGGUCCCUGGGUCUGAACUGUCUGUCCUUAUAGGAAAGGCUUUCUCUGGAUCAGGCACUGCCCUUGUUUGGUCACAGACUCUGAGAGAUGAUAGAGCCCUUGGGAGCCUGGAGCUUCUCUGUUGCAGGCGUGGUGCUGGGGUCCGAGGCAGGAGCCCCACGCUCACUUUCACUAUUCCUAGUAACAUCAAUACCAACGGCCAUUUGCACAGCAGCCAUAAGGCCACGGGUUAUAAUGGGCCUUGGCACAUUCAGUCCCAGGGCACAGAGAGGCUGCUUAUGUUAUGAGCAUUGUAGAGAUAAGAAAGCCGAUAUUCAAAAGAGGCAGUGUGAUUUGUCCAGGUAAGCCCGGAUUGGUCCCUGCCUGACUGUCUGGAGUCAGCACUUUCUCUGGGCUGCGGACACAGUGACCACUGUCUCCCGGCCAGCUCCCCUGGCUGCCGUCUGACUUCUCUUACAGGCUGAGUUCAGUUCCUGUGUCAGACUUUUUGUGGAGCCCUUGAUUACAAAGCCAGCAAGUGAGAUGUUAGAAGUGUGACCCAUCUGGGGUUGGAGUCACACCAUCACUGCCUGGAGGGCAGGGCCUGGGGGACUCAGGCUCCCCUGAGACCAGGAGAGAAGGGGGUGGGUGGUCUCCUUGCUGUAACCUCACUGUGCUGCAGCUCAGGGCUGGUGCAAGCUGCUUCUGGAAACAUCCACGGUUCAGAGGGGCAGGGCAGGCAGCCCUUAUACUGUGCCCUGACCAGAGCUCCCUGGGGUGGCAUAAUGUCCACGACACUGACCAGCCUGUGCCCAAGAGAGAAGCUAGAGGAGGCUUCAUGGGGAAGGGUGUCCUGAGGCUGCCGCACUCCUAGAGAGGGGUGCAGGAGCUUGAAGUGAGCCUGCAGGAAUGACCCAGCCCAUGUCACUUCUAAAGGUGAAUAAACAGGGGGGAGAGGAGACUGUAGGAAGCCUGAGGCUCCAGAGAACUUGGUCAGUCAGACCAGACAGCCCUUUGGCAGGACCGCAGGCCAACUCUCCUCCACAGCUGCUUUUUUUUUUUAAAGUCCCUCCCCCUGCUGAAGUCUUUUUAAACUGACACCCACCCACUCCCCAUAUCACUUCACUGUCACACUCUGUGUGAUGCCAUGGUGGCUUUUGCGGACCCAGGUGCUAGGGUGCUUCUUUGGCAACUGAUGCGAGCUGACUUCAGGCUGGGUUCUGUCACCAGGAGCGCUGCAGGUGGGGGGAUUUGCAGCCUUCCUUUAAGCAUUCACUCAAUAAAUGCUGCCUAGAGGGUGGUUCCAAAGCCAGAGGCCCAGCCAAGCCCUCUCAGACAGCUGCUUAGGAGGUCCUUCCCCCAACGCAGGGUGCCAGCAGGCUCAACCUGCUGCUGUUAGGUGGCAGGCAGCUGAGCGCCUGCUGUGAGAAUCCCGUUGGUGACACCUGCCAGCGGCCCUCUUACCUUGAGGAGGUGUUUCUCGAUGGGUAAGGAUCCCUGUGAGAGACAGAUACACACAGCUUCUAGCUGGCCGGGAGGGGAAGUUUACACAGCCUAGAGGAGCAGAAGGAGGACCCCCACCAGAGCUAACGGGGCUGAGUGGCCAGCUCAUUCCCAGGGAGGGCAGGAAGGACGAUGGCCAGUGUGUCCUGGCUGAUACCCACCAGCUCGGCAGUGAGCCCGGGCUGUCCUGGCAAACCAUUGUGUCCAGGCACUCCCUGAAGCAGAAAAGAAACAAGAGCUCAGAGACUCUUAGUGAUCUCCUUGCUAGGGCUCACAGCCCUGCCACCUGUCAGCCGCUCUUGCAUGGGUGGUAGCUCUGACUACUCUAGGCCUCAAGGUCUCCCACGGCUGGGGGCUGCGGGAGCCAAGGAGGCACAGAAGUGGAUGGUCCUUAAAAGUAGUUCCACUGGGAGCAUUUCCUUGUGCAGCAGGUCAGAAGCUAGACAGGGGGUCUUCAAUAGGGUGACUGCUGAGGGCUAUUCUAAGCUGCUUUCCCGUACUUUCUCAUUAAUCACCAUUGUAGUCUCCUGGAGGCUACAAGCGAUUUGUUGCAGUCCUGGAAACAAAGGGACUCAGAGAAGGUCAUAGGCUGAGUGAUACAGAUGUGUCACUGGGACUACUGGAGAGGACCACUGGCUCCCCAACCUUUCUUCAUCCCCUACUUGUGCCCCAUCCCUUGAAAGAUGUCCCUGCAGUAUUGGAUGCUUGCCAAUCGGAGCAUCUAGGUGCAAGUCCUCACCACCCAAGUAACUUUUGGAAGAGUAUGAGCCCAGCGCUGUGCCUCGGUUUCCUUCUCUGUAAGACGGUCAUCAUGCAGAGAUGGCUUCGAGGAAGUCAUGCUGCUGUGAGGGACACAGCACAGAGCCCCGAUGUAGGAUGUGCGGGGACACUCCUGUUAAGAGUUUGCCACCCAGCCUCUAGCUUCCUUGCAUGUUCACAUUGCACAUUUGCAUAUUAAAUACUCUGCUGAAGAA
Molecule: long non-coding RNA, 3304 nt
Organism: Mus musculus (house mouse)
Lineage: Eukaryota; Metazoa; Chordata; Mammalia; Rodentia; Muridae
Product: predicted gene, 46871
Exons: 2
Source: RefSeq, a predicted model, not a curated record